UACGUAGGGUGCAAGCGUUGUCCGGAAUUAUUGGGCGUAAAGAGCUCGUAGGCGGUUUGUCGCGUCUGCUGUGAAAUCCCGAGGCUCAACCUCGGGCCUGCAGUGGGUACGGGCAGACUAGAGUGUGGUAGGGGAGACUGGAAUUCCUGGUGUAGCGGUGGAAUGCGCAGAUAUCAGGAGGAACACCGAUGGCGAAGGCAGGUCUCUGGGCCACUACUGACGCUGAGGAGCGAAAGCAUGGGGAGCGAACAGG
RNAcentral lists this ribosomal RNA (253 nucleotides) under uncultured bacterium. Its description in RNAcentral is "partial 16S ribosomal RNA". It matches the Rfam family "Bacterial small subunit ribosomal RNA", at positions 524 to 776 of the family's 1533-position model. The record is from RNAcentral.